UUUUUUUUGUGGUACUAAAAAUAGUCUCUAGUGAACAAUAGCCUUUAAAAUGACUUAAAAUACAUACAAAACGCUACAGCCACUGUAAUGUCUUGAACAAGAACAUCAAACUCAGAGUGAGGGUUAAAACUUUUAUUUUGAAAUUGUGAUGAACAACAAAUGAACA
Long non-coding RNA from Rhinichthys klamathensis goyatoka, 166 nucleotides. RefSeq lists it as uncharacterized. The record is from RefSeq and is a predicted model, not a curated record. Lineage: Eukaryota; Metazoa; Chordata; Actinopteri; Cypriniformes; Leuciscidae. The transcript has 2 exons.